CCUACGGGAGGCUGCAGUGGGGAAUAUUGGACAAUGGGGGGAACCCUGAUCCAGCCAUGCCGCGUGUGUGAAGAAGGCCCUCGGGUUGUAAAGCACUUUCAGUGAGGAAGAACGCCUGGUGGUUAAUACCCAUCAGGAAAGACAUCACUCACAGAAGAAGCACCGGCUAACUCCGUGCCAGCAGCCGCGGUAAUACGGAGGGUGCGAGCGUUAAUCGGAAUUACUGGGCGUAAAGCGCGCGUAGGUGGCUUGAUAAGCCGGUUGUGAAAGCCCCGGGCUCAACCUGGGAACGGCAUCCGGAACUGUCAAGCUAGAGUGCAGGAGAGGAAGGUAGAAUUCCCGGUGUAGCGGUGAAAUGCGUAGAGAUCGGGAGGAAUACCAGUGGCGAAGGCGGCCUUCUGGACUGACACUGACACUGAGGUGCGAAAGCGUGGGUAGCAAACAGGAUUAGAUACCUGUGUAGUC
Molecule: ribosomal RNA, 465 nt
Filed under: Vreelandella stevensii
Lineage: Bacteria; Pseudomonadati; Pseudomonadota; Gammaproteobacteria; Oceanospirillales; Halomonadaceae
Description: partial 16S ribosomal RNA
Rfam family: Bacterial small subunit ribosomal RNA
Source: RNAcentral